CGUGAUGACAUCAUCGCACAAUGGCAUCACAACGUCAUUUAGCAACUUUUAGCAACAAAUCAACCUUCCUUUAGCAACUUCCCAUUAAAAUUAUUUGGCAACCGCUCCGCCUCAGAGAGAGAGAGAGAG
Long non-coding RNA from Sinocyclocheilus anshuiensis, 129 nucleotides. RefSeq lists it as uncharacterized. The record is from RefSeq and is a predicted model, not a curated record. NCBI's taxonomy places the organism in Eukaryota, Metazoa, Chordata, Actinopteri, Cypriniformes, Cyprinidae. The transcript has 3 exons.